Molecule: long non-coding RNA, 2935 nt
Organism: Eriocheir sinensis (Chinese mitten crab)
Lineage: Eukaryota; Metazoa; Arthropoda; Malacostraca; Decapoda; Varunidae
Exons: 3
Source: RefSeq, a predicted model, not a curated record
CCUUGGAAACACCUACAUGGCCAUCACGACUGAAGUGGUGUUCGCUGACAGGUAAAAUGCAGGUGCAACCUUCACAGGGUGACAGAGAUUGAGUGAUAACAGACACUGGAGACCCUCCAAGCGAUGGCUGGUGACCGCCUGCCACCAUCCACAGGCUGUCACACAAGGAGCCCUGGGAGUAACCUUGCUGGAAGCCCCGCGGGCCGCAGUGUGUGGCUGGCGUUAUACAGCCCCCAGCCAUCGCCUGGAGGGCAUCCAGUGUCUGUUAUCACUCACCUUAGGUAGUCUGUGAAGGUCCAGUCAUCACUGGUGCACGUGUAUCUUACCUGUGAUCAACACCGGCAGCCACAGACUCCUGCCCAAGGAACGAACACAGUGAUCGUGAUGACAUUGACAACAACGAGCAAGUCCUCCUAGACCUAGAGUGACCUCAAGCUGGGCCAAACAUGAUGUGGAAGAAGAAAUCAGUUGUUUCCAUCAGUCGGGUUUGUGCCAUGGCAGCUUUCUCCAGCUGUCCGGCAGAGGUCCAGUCCAUGCCAUGGAGAAAUUCAGCCCCCAACAAUGAGAUGGCAUGCCAGAGAUGGAUCUGCAGCUUCUCCUCCAAUCAAUCAAUCCUUGCAAUGCCCUUUCUCUUUUUUCUCCUUCUGUACCACCAUGCUUACACAUAACUGAUCCAAGGUACUUAAACUCGUUAACCUCCUCCAUUUCUUCACCAUUCAAAAUUAUUUGGCAUUCUUUUUCACAUUCAAUGCCCACUCUAUAUGGGCAUACAAACUCUACAACCUCCCUUCUACUCUGCUCACAAACCAUCACUUUACUUUUGUUGAAAUUUACUUUCAACUUUCUCCUUUUACAUACACUAUCAAAAACACUGACCAAAUUUUGUAAGUCACUUUCAUUUUCUGCAUUGAGCACCGUGUCAUCAGCAAAUAAGAUUGAAUUCAUCACCCACUUCCUUCCCUCCCUCAGCAUACAUUUUUACUUCAAUUUCCCCAACUUUGCCCUUCAUUUCUCAUAACACCAUCCAUAUAAAUAUUGAACAACCACGAUGACAUGACACACCCCUGCCUUAGCCCACUUUCAUCUCAAAAUGUUCACUUGUUUCUCCACUAAUUUUGACACAUGCAGAUGCAUCCUCAUAGAAAGACUUUAUUGCAUAAAGCAGUUUUCCUCCCACACCAUAUAUCUUUAAGACGUCCCACAAUGCCAGCCAAUCGACUCUGUCAUAAACUUUCUUUAGAAUAACUAGAUCCAUGAAGGCAGCAUAGUAUUUUUUCCUUUUGCUAAUAUUUUUUCUAAUAAAACACCAUCCUGAAGGAAAAUAUCUGAUCCACACAUCCUCUUCCCUUCCUGAAGUCUCCUUGUUCUUCACUGAUUUUCUCUUCUGUAAGUCUUUGCGCAGUCUCAAUUAGGACUUUUCCAUAUACCUUUCCAGGUAGCCUACACUCAGCAGACUUAUACCCCUACAACUCCCACCUCCCCUCUCCUGCCCUUCCCCUUGUAAACUGGGACCAUGAUGGCUUUUGUCAAGUCUGCUGGGACCUCCCCCCCCCCUUCCCAGGCUACUUCACAUAUCUUGACCAUUCAUAAAGUAACUUCAUCUCCACACUUCAACAUUUCUGCUGUGAUUCCUCUCAAUUCAUUCAUCAUCAUCAUCUCGUCGACGCCUGCUCUUAGGAGCUCCCACCAGGGGAUGGCCACGGCAGAAGUUUCCAUCUUUCUCUAUCCGGACACUCCCUCCUUGCCUGCUCAAAGUUUCUCAAGGAUCUCUCAUCCUUCUCCCUAAUGUACUCCUGCACCCUAUCUCUCCAUUUCACUGGAGGUCGUCCUCUAACAUUCCCUCCCUCAAUCUCACAUACACCCUUCUGGUCAUCUUACUCUCCUCCAUUCACUCCAUGUGGCCAAACCACUUUAAAGUCACUUAUUCCCUUCACCCCCGUGACACAUUCCAAAACGCUCAUACACACUUUCAUUACUUAUUCCAUCCAUUCUACUCACACCACAAGCACUCCUCAAAUAACUCAUUUCCACUGCCUGCACUCUAGACCUCUGACUUUCAUUCAAGGCCCAUGUUUCACUUGCAUAUGUGAGGGUUGGUACUAUUAUUGUAUUUUCAACUGAUAACUGAUCCAAGGUACUUAAACUCAUUGACCUCCUCCAUUUCUUCACCAUUCAGAAUUAUUUUGCAUUCUUUUUCACAUUCAGUUCCCACUCUAUAUGGGCAUACAAAAUCUACAACUUCACUUCUACUCCCCUCACAAACCAUCACUUUACUUUUGUUGACAUUUACUUUCAGCUUUCUCCUUUUACAGACGCUAUGAAAAUCACUGACCAAGUUUUGUAAGUCACUUUCAUUUUCUGCAAUGAGCACUGUGUCAUCAGUAAACAGGAUUGAAUUCAGCACCCACUACCCUCCCUCAGCAUACAUUUUUACUCCAACUUUGCCCUUUAUUUCUCUCAUGACACCAUCCAUAUAAAUAUUGAACAACCAUGGUGACAUGACACGCCCCUGCCUUAAUCCCACCUUUAUCUCAAAAUGUUCACUUGUUUCUCCACCAAUUUUGACACAUGCAGAUGCAUCCUCAUAGAAAAACUUUAUUGCACUAAGCAGCUUUCCUCCUACACCAUAAAUCUUUAAAACAUCCCACAAUGCAAUCCAAUCGAAUCUGUCAUAAGCUUUUUCAAAGUCCAUGAAGGCAGCGUAUAGUUUCUUUCCUUUUGCUAUUAUUUUUUCUACUACCAUCCUGAAGGAAAAUAUCUGAUUGAUUCCAUCAGUUCCUGCUGCUUUUCCAUUUUUUCAUCUUUUUAAUGCCUGAUUUACUUCUUCAUAUGUUAUACUUCUUUCUUUAUAUACUCCUCCUCUACCUCCGCUCAAAACUGUUGCUGUAACAGCUGCUGGACGUCCAUCAUCAAAAUUCAUUAAGUUUUUGAAAUA